Urocitellus parryii (Arctic ground squirrel) is the source of this 232-nucleotide non-coding RNA. The record is from RefSeq and is a predicted model, not a curated record. Lineage: Eukaryota; Metazoa; Chordata; Mammalia; Rodentia; Sciuridae.
CUUGCCAUAGGGCACUUUGAUAGGAGGCAGCUUGGUGACUGCUGCUACUAGGAAGUUCAUUAGGACGUCUACACAGCCUCAGCUCUACCAGGGCCUGGCCCAGAAAAUGACUGCAGAGUGAAGGACUGAAUGGAGGGAUGGGGUGUGAAUGGAAGAACGGGUGACUUCCCCCGCUCUCCAGCCUCUCAGGGCCUUUAACCAAGUCCCCUGAAGUUGGGGGAAGGGAAGAAAC